This 22-nucleotide microRNA is filed under the name Apis mellifera (honey bee). RNAcentral describes it as "ame-miR-3738-5p". Lineage: Eukaryota; Metazoa; Arthropoda; Insecta; Hymenoptera; Apidae. The record is from miRBase by way of RNAcentral.
GUUUACCGGAUGUUUUCGCAAU